UUUUAUUUGAGAGUUUGAUCCUGGCUCAGGAUGAACGCUGGCGGCGUGCCUAACACAUGCAAGUUGAGCGAUUUACUUCGGUAAAGAGCGGCGGACGGGUGAGUAACGCGUGGGUAACCUACCCUGUACACACGGAUAACAUACCGAAAGGUAUGCUAAUACGGGAUAAUAUAUUUGAGAGGCAUCUCUUGAAUAUCAAAGGUGAGCCAGUACAGGAUGGACCCGCGUCUGAUUAGCUAGUUGGUAAGGUAACGGCUUACCAAGGCGACGAUCAGUAGCCGACCUGAGAGGGUGAUCGGCCACAUUGGAACUGAGACACGG
This 321-nucleotide ribosomal RNA is filed under the name Clostridioides difficile. RNAcentral's name for it is "bacterial SSU rRNA". It matches the Rfam family "Bacterial small subunit ribosomal RNA", at positions 1 to 329 of the family's 1533-position model. The record is from RNAcentral. Lineage: Bacteria; Bacillati; Bacillota; Clostridia; Peptostreptococcales; Peptostreptococcaceae.